CAGAUUCGGACUGAAGUUUCGCCCAGUUGUUAAAGAUUUAUACGGGAGGUUUAACAAUCCCCUGUCAUUAAGCCUUGGCACAAGCAGUGCAAAGGACGUUCAGGGCAUAGUUGUACUAACUUAUCUGGUAAAGAGAAAGCUGUUCCUUUAAACUGUGUUUGCUGUGACUCUGGAAACUGAGCAAACAAAAUCUGAGGCACACUUUACUCUCAAGCAGAACUGACAGGAAGGUACAAGGACUGAAGGACAGUGAACUUCUGUAAGACAUACCUGCCUCUGGAUUCAUAACUGAAUUGCAAAUCCCUAACAAUUUGCGGGAGUUUAAUUCAGACUUCAUGGAGAUACCUCAUCCCGAUGGCAAAUGAGAUACUGCCUCAGCCACUGAGUGUCAGACUGCUACUUUGGUCUCCAUGAGCUCCAGGGAAGUGUUUGCCUGCAAAGCACAUUCAGCUCUAAUUCAGAUAAAGCUGAUGGAGUUUUGGAAGCUACCUGUCUUCUGCUGCUCUGCUGCUGAUCCAUUGUCUCAGUUGCCAUAGAGACAAGUUCUGGAAGCCAUGGAUGAGCCUGGGAGAGAAGCCACCCACAGGCUCUCCACUGGUGGGCUCUGGCAGGGCCAUUCUCAGCACGUGCUGAGAGAGUCAGGUUCGGUCUCUGAAAGUGAGGAAGAGUCAGCAGGUGCUAACCCAGUGACGCACGAGGGGGAGUUGCACACACAGUACAUUGCUAUUCAAAGAAAUUCCAGGUACUACCGAUCCAUGAGGCUUCCAAAAAGAGGGAAAAGAAAGACUUCAAGAGAGACAAUUCACGUGCAGCAUGCUACAGGUUCACUCAAAAACUAUGAGCCCAUCAAAGAGCCUCUGAAUGUUUUAUCGGAUACGGGUUCACCAUCUCCAGCAAACUGUGAUCCAACAACAUUAGAUGAAUUAUUGAUCCAAAGGUAAGGAGGUUCCCACGCAGGGUAUUCCCCAUGCCUUCCCUGAAAACUAGUUAGUGGUGUCACAGCGAGAAUACUUCUUUUGGGAAGAACAGCUGGACUAAGCUGUAGCUCUGAUCCAUGCCUUCUCACCUUGACUUGUGGCGCUGCUUUCAGUCUUAAUGACUUAUACAGCAGAGUAUUAGCAUGGUGGGAAAAGGGCCUUAUCAGUGUGGGUUUGGGGAAGACAGUGAAGGAAAAAGGGGGAACAAGAAGACAGUGGGGAAGAUGGAAAAAAGAGGAAUGUGAUGCAGGAUCACCCAGCAGUGUUGGCAAACUGGGCAGACUGCACUAAGCGGUUUCUUGAGAAUAAGGGAGCCUGUGAGCAUUUUGUUAUGGAACAUCCCAGCAUCAGGGUAAUCCCAUUCCUGGCCUUCACAGAGAGCUCUUCUGAAGCCUGUUACACAAUCCUGCACGGAAAACAGGAUUUUAUAGCUGAAGAAGUAGCUACAAAUAUUUUUUCUAAAAUAUCCAGACUUUUUGUUUGCUUUUUACUUUAAAGAGCUGAUAAGCAACAGAGACUUUCAGUGAGGUAGUCCUUUUUGGCCUACAUCCCUCAACAACAAAGGUCUAGCAGAAGACCCUGGUCCCAUAUCUCAGAAAUGUACAUACAUCCCAUAAAUCUGCCCUCACUCCUGCUCUCUUGCCACUGCCGCCAGGCAGAGAAAGGAGCAGCUACCUAUCCCUACAUUUUCAAAUCUAACUGAGGUUUUCUCCCAAACUCGUUCUCCAACUACUCACCUCCUGUGUGUACAGCUAUGAGAUAGUCCCUCCUUCUAUCGUAGAUCAAGCUGGAAGCAGUAAGCACUUGUCCUCUAAGGGUGCAUGCAUCCUGCUGCACCAUCUGGUCCUAAUUACUGAGACCAGCUGUGUUGGGGUAAUACAAUGUGCUUUCCCAGGCACCUUUCCUUGUGGAGAGGACUCCAACAGAACAAUUUUAUCCAAAUGUCAAGUUUGAUUUAAAUAAAUUAAUUGCCUUGGCCAAAAUUGAUUGCCCCUUGGCCGUAAACUGAGCAUAUGAAACUAGACAGCCACAGUCUGCUGCAAUGUCAAACCUAUCUGUCUUCGUUUCCUUGGGGCAUAAUCAUCACUGUCAGUCUGGCAUCCUGACACUGGCACUUAGGCAGCUCUGAAAUGUGCAAUUUCUGAUUCUCCCUGGAGCUGGAAACAAUGAGCCUGUGCUAGGAGUUGCUUGUAUCAAAGACACUGCUGUGCACAGAGCCUGGCAGGUCAGUACAGGUUCGAAGCCAUGUGUCUGCUAAAAGUAGGCAGUCCUGCUGAGUGGCAUCACUGGAAAUUGAGCAUGGAGAUUUAACAGAGAAUGAGACCAUAGUUCCAGCUCAAAUUCCACCCAUGUCCUCUUUCCUUCUCCAAAAGAUCAGUUGUAAUUUAUAAGAGAACCACUAGAAAACUGCAUUGGGAAAGCAUGCAAUAGCCUAAAAAAUGUCAUUAUUUGUAGUAAUCAAUAGUAUCUCACUUCUAUUUGGAAAAAAUGGCCAUUAUGCAGAUAAUACAUUUAAAAUAUUGUUGGUCUCAAGAAAUACAUUUAAUUUCACCUCAAAAGAAUACAUCUGGUGCCUGUCAGCUAACCAUUC
Taeniopygia guttata (zebra finch) is the source of this 2568-nucleotide non-coding RNA. NCBI's taxonomy places the organism in Eukaryota, Metazoa, Chordata, Aves, Passeriformes, Estrildidae. The record is from RefSeq and is a predicted model, not a curated record.